This 429-nucleotide ribosomal RNA is filed under the name Acidobacteriota bacterium. RNAcentral's name for it is "Acidobacteria bacterium partial 16S ribosomal RNA". It matches the Rfam family "Bacterial small subunit ribosomal RNA", at positions 355 to 776 of the family's 1533-position model. The record is from RNAcentral. Lineage: Bacteria; Pseudomonadati; Acidobacteriota.
UGGGGAAUUUUGGACAAUGGGGGAAACCCUGAUCCAGCCAUCCCGCGUGUGCGAUGUAGGCCUUCGGGUUGUAAAGCACUUUUGGCAGGAAAGAAACGUCAUGGGUUAAUACCCCGUGAAACUGACGGUACCUGCAGAAUAAGCACCGGCUAACUACGUGCCAGCAGCCGCGGUAAUACGUAGGGUGCAAGCGUUAAUCGGAAUUACUGGGCGUAAAGCGUGCGCAGGCGGUUCGGAAAGAAAGAUGUGAAAUCCCAGAGCUCAACUUUGGAACUGCAUUUUUAACUACCGGGCUAGAGUGUGUCAGAGGGAGGUGGAAUUCCGCGUGUAGCAGUGAAAUGCGUAGAUAUGCGGAGGAACACCGAUGGCGAAGGCAGCCUCCUGGGAUAACACUGACGCUCAUGCACGAAAGCGUGGGGAGCAAACAGG